This 508-nucleotide ribosomal RNA is filed under the name uncultured Mycobacterium sp. RNAcentral describes it as "partial 16S ribosomal RNA". The record is from RNAcentral. Lineage: Bacteria; Bacillati; Actinomycetota; Actinomycetes; Mycobacteriales; Mycobacteriaceae.
GCGCAUUCCACCGCUACACCAGGAAUUCCAGUCUCCCCUGCAGUACUCAAGUCUGCCCGUAUCGCCCGCACGCCCACAGUUAAGCUGUGAGUUUUCACGAACAACGCGACAAACCACCUACGAGCUCUUUACGCCCAGUAAUUCCGGACAACGCUCGGACCCUACGUAUUACCGCGGCUGCUGGCACGUAGUUGGCCGGUCCUUCUUCUGCACAUACCGUCACUUGCGCUUCGUCUGUGCUGAAAGAGGUUUACAACCCGAAGGCCGUCAUCCCUCACGCGGCGUCGCUGCAUCAGGCUUGCGCCCAUUGUGCAAUAUUCCCCACUGCUGCCUCCCGUAGGAGUCUGGGCCGUAUCUCAGUCCCAGUGUGGCCGGUCACCCUCUCAGGCCGGCUACCCGUCGUCGCCUUGGUAGGCCAUUACCCCACCAACAAGCUGAUAGGCCGCGGGCCCAUCCCACACCGCAAAAGCUUUCCACCACACACCAGGAAGUGCAUGGUCAUAUUCGG